AGAAACACAAGCAAACAACAGACGACUCAGUGUGGAAGAGAUGGCUGGGGAGAAGAAGCUGGUUCUACCUGUAACACUGAGAAGAAGAAUAAAGUCCCAUUUAAGUUGAGUUAAAUGGGAGUGAACAACUAUUAUUGCACAGAAAGUCAUCCAGCUGCGAACAACACAGUUAUGAGAGCUGAAGAUGUGAGUUAUGGUCAAAUCAUCAUCAAACAGAAGAAAAACAAGACAAAAGAGACUAAUCCAGCUGCAGUCUCCUCAGAGGUGGGAACUGAAGACAUAAGUUACAAACAAAUGGUCAUCAGACUAAAGACUCUUAGAGACUGUGAACCAGAGCCAGACAUCAUCUACUCUUCACUGAAGUAGUCCACCAAUCCAACCACUGACGUCCAGCUGCUGGUCUCUGACUGGUCCUCCCAGCAUCUCAAGAGUACAACUGCUUGUUGAAAUACUUUUAUAUAUUUUGCGCCUUUUUCUCACUGAACCUUACUCAAACGACUCAAAAAGGACAUACUUUUAACAGAAUUUUCUGCCAAGUAGGCAAUGAUCAUAUAAAUGUGUUAAUAUACUUUAUUAACUUUAUUGUUAUGUAAAUGUUAUUUAUGCUCAGUGACUUAUGACUGCAAUCUGGUUUCUUUGGCAGAUUAAUAAACCUCAGUUCUUGUAUAACGUUCCUGUGUGGGUAUGUGGGCUUUACCAAGCUGUGAGAUGGAAAAUAUGACUUGUUUGG
This is a long non-coding RNA of Oreochromis aureus, 730 nucleotides long. RefSeq lists it as uncharacterized. The record is from RefSeq and is a predicted model, not a curated record. The transcript has 4 exons. Lineage: Eukaryota; Metazoa; Chordata; Actinopteri; Cichliformes; Cichlidae.